UUAAAAUGUUUAUAGGUUUUUAUAGAGAAGUUUAUAGAUGAUCAAAGGAAAUAUGGUAUUUUUUUUAACAUUGCUAAGUUAUUUUAAAAUUUGACGGGCACUUACGUGCCAACUUUACCAUGAAAUGUUCCAUAAAAUUAAAGAGACCCUAAUGGAUUCUAUUUAUUGAAGUGACAAACAUUCGGGACAACCUAUGGGGCUGAGUUGAAACCGAGUUCGGCGCAUAAGAACCUCACCAUUUAAGCCAGCUGAGUUGAGGUGUUGGAACUUGACUGCACUUGAGUUGUUUGAAAAUUAAUUAUAUAGUAAAUGGCACGUAAAGUGUUAUAAUUUUGUUAUAAAAGAAGAUGCGACGAAUGCGCUCGAAAUAUUGACGAAAAUAUCAAAGACAUGUGAUGUUUUGGUGAAAAAAAUGUAAAAAUUUGUUACCAUAUAAAUUAUGGCAUACUAAAUAUGGCCAUAAAUAAAAGUAUUGUUGGUUGCAGCAUUUUAAUUUGGUAACCUCAUUACAUAUCCGUGCUAUGGCAGCUAUCUAACAGGGGCUGUCCGCUGACUGGUGCUGUGACAAGUUAUAUUAGGUUUGUCAACAAGUUUGUAACGCCCAAAAGGAAAUUUUGGAGAUUCAAUAAAAAUUAUAUACAUAUAAUGAUCAGCAUGAAGACGCGAGUCGAGUUUGCCUUGUACUACUGGCUGUCUGCAUAUACGCCAACUAGUCCCUCAUUUUUUGACUUAUCUAGCUAGAGUUCUGCACACGCGCUUUUCUCUCCAAGCGGCUACUCAUUUGGCAGAAUCGACGAAAUUGGACAACUCUAGCGUAUAGCUGCCAUACAAAUUAAAUAAUCGGAAUCAAGUGCUUGCAGGAAAACUUUUUAA
Molecule: long non-coding RNA, 873 nt
Organism: Bactrocera latifrons
Lineage: Eukaryota; Metazoa; Arthropoda; Insecta; Diptera; Tephritidae
Exons: 5
Source: RefSeq, a predicted model, not a curated record